GUACCUUCGGGUACUAGUGGCAAACGGGUUAGUAACACGUAGGUAACUACCCAUUACUCAGGCAUAACUAGUCGAAAGAUUAGCUAAUUCCUGAUGGUCUCGCAAGAGUAAAGCUCCGGCGGUAAUGGAAGUACCUGCGGCCUAUCAGCUUGUUGGUGAGGUAAUGGCUCACCAAGGCUACGAUAGGUAGGGGGCCUGAGAGGGUGACCCCCCACACUGGUACUGAGACACGGACCAGACUCC
This 243-nucleotide ribosomal RNA is filed under the name uncultured bacterium. RNAcentral describes it as "partial 16S ribosomal RNA". It matches the Rfam family "Bacterial small subunit ribosomal RNA", at positions 74 to 339 of the family's 1533-position model. The record is from RNAcentral.